RNAcentral lists this ribosomal RNA (2907 nucleotides) under Citrobacter freundii. RNAcentral's name for it is "23S ribosomal RNA". It matches the Rfam family "Bacterial large subunit ribosomal RNA". The record is from RNAcentral. Lineage: Bacteria; Pseudomonadati; Pseudomonadota; Gammaproteobacteria; Enterobacterales; Enterobacteriaceae.
GGUUAAGCGACUAAGCGUACACGGUGGAUGCCCUGGCAGUCAGAGGCGAUGAAGGACGUGCUAAUCUGCGAUAAGCGUCGGUAAGGUGAUAUGAACCGUUAUAACCGGCGAUUUCCGAAUGGGGAAACCCAGUGUGAUUCGUCACACUAUCAUUACGUGAAUACAUAGCGUAAUGAAGCGAACCGGGGGAACUGAAACAUCUAAGUACCCCGAGGAAAAGAAAUCAACCGAGAUUCCCCCAGUAGCGGCGAGCGAACGGGGAGCAGCCCAGAGUCUGAAUCAGCUUGUGUGUUAGUGGAACGGUCUGGAAAGUCCGACGGUACAGGGUGAUAGUCCCGUACACCAAAAUGCACAGGUUGUGAACUCGAAGAGUAGGGCGGGACACGUGGUAUCCUGUCUGAAUAUGGGGGGACCAUCCUCCAAGGCUAAAUACUCCUGACUGACCGAUAGUGAACCAGUACCGUGAGGGAAAGGCGAAAAGAACCCCGGCGAGGGGAGUGAAAAAGAACCUGAAACCGUGUACGUACAAGCAGUGGGAGCAUCCUUUUGGGUGUGACUGCGUACCUUUUGUAUAAUGGGUCAGCGACUUAUAUUCUGUAGCAAGGUUAACCGUAUAGGGGAGCCGAAGGGAAACCGAGUCUUAACUGGGCGUUAAGUUGCAGGGUAUAGACCCGAAACCCGGUGAUCUAGCCAUGGGCAGGUUGAAGGUUGGGUAACACUAACUGGAGGACCGAACCGACUAAUGUUGAAAAAUUAGCGGAUGACUUGUGGCUGGGGGUGAAAGGCCAAUCAAACCGGGAGAUAGCUGGUUCUCCCCGAAAGCUAUUUAGGUAGCGCCUCGUGAACUCAUCUUCGGGGGUAGAGCACUGUUUCGGCUAGGGGGUCAUCCCGACUUACCAACCCGAUGCAAACUGCGAAUACCGAAGAAUGUUAUCACGGGAGACACACGGCGGGUGCUAACGUCCGUCGUGAAGAGGGAAACAACCCAGACCGCCAGCUAAGGUCCCAAAGUCAUGGUUAAGUGGGAAACGAUGUGGGAAGGCACAGACAGCCAGGAUGUUGGCUUAGAAGCAGCCAUCAUUUAAAGAAAGCGUAAUAGCUCACUGGUCGAGUCGGCCUGCGCGGAAGAUGUAACGGGGCUAAACCAUGCACCGAAGCUGCGGCAGCGACACUAUGUGUUGUUGGGUAGGGGAGCGUUCUGUAAGCCGUUGAAGGUGUAUCGUGAGGUAUGCUGGAGGUAUCAGAAGUGCGAAUGCUGACAUAAGUAACGAUAAUGCGGGUGAAAAACCCGCACGCCGGAAGACCAAGGGUUCCUGUCCAACGUUAAUCGGGGCAGGGUGAGUCGACCCCUAAGGCGAGGCCGAAAGGCGUAGUCGAUGGGAAACAGGUUAAUAUUCCUGUACUUGGUGUUACUGCGAAGGGGGACGGAGAAGGCUAUGUUAGCCGGGCGACGGUUGUCCCGGUUUAAGCAUGUAGGCGGAGGUUCCAGGUAAAUCCGGUACCUUUUUAACGCUGAGGUGUGAUGACGAGGCACUACGGUGCUGAAGUAACAAAUGCCCUGCUUCCAGGAAAAGCCUCUAAGCAUCAGGUAACACGAAAUCGUACCCCAAACCGACACAGGUGGUCAGGUAGAGAAUACCAAGGCGCUUGAGAGAACUCGGGUGAAGGAACUAGGCAAAAUGGUGCCGUAACUUCGGGAGAAGGCACGCUGAUAUGUAGGUGAAGUGAUUUACUCAUGGAGCUGAAAUCAGUCGAAGAUACCAGCUGGCUGCAACUGUUUAUUAAAAACACAGCACUGUGCAAACACGAAAGUGGACGUAUACGGUGUGACGCCUGCCCGGUGCCGGAAGGUUAAUUGAUGGGGUUAUCCGUAAGGAGAAGCUCUUGAUCGAAGCCCCGGUAAACGGCGGCCGUAACUAUAACGGUCCUAAGGUAGCGAAAUUCCUUGUCGGGUAAGUUCCGACCUGCACGAAUGGCGUAAUGAUGGCCAGGCUGUCUCCACCCGAGACUCAGUGAAAUUGAACUCGCUGUGAAGAUGCAGUGUACCCGCGGCAAGACGGAAAGACCCCGUGAACCUUUACUAUAGCUUGACACUGAACACUGGUCCUUGAUGUGUAGGAUAGGUGGGAGGCUUUGAAGUGUGGACGCCAGUCUGCAUGGAGCCAUCCUUGAAAUACCACCCUUUAAUGGCUGGUGUUCUAACGUGGACCCGUAAUCCGGGUUGCGGACAGUGUCUGGUGGGUAGUUUGACUGGGGCGGUCUCCUCCUAAAGAGUAACGGAGGAGCACGAAGGUUAGCUAAUCCUGGUCGGACAUCAGGAGGUUAGUGCAAAGGCAUAAGCUAGCUUGACUGCGAGAGUGACGGCUCGAGCAGGUGCGAAAGCAGGUCUUAGUGAUCCGGUGGUUCUGAAUGGAAGGGCCAUCGCUCAACGGAUAAAAGGUACUCCGGGGAUAACAGGCUGAUACCGCCCAAGAGUUCAUAUCGACGGCGGUGUUUGGCACCUCGAUGUCGGCUCAUCACAUCCUGGGGCUGAAGUAGGUCCCAAGGGUAUGGCUGUUCGCCAUUUAAAGUGGUACGCGAGCUGGGUUUAGAACGUCGUGAGACAGUUCGGUCCCUAUCUGCCGUGGGCGCUGGAGAAUUGAGGGGGGCUGCUCCUAGUACGAGAGGACCGGAGUGGACGCAUCACUGGUGUUCGGGUUGUCAUGCCAAUGGCAUUGCCCGGUAGCUAAAUGCGGAAGAGAUAAGUGCUGAAAGCAUCUAAGCACGAAACUUGCCCCGAGAUGAGUUCUCCCUGAGACUUUAAGUCUCCUGAAGGAACGUUGAAGACGACGACGUUGAUAGGUCGGGUGUGUAAGCGUAGCGAUACGUUGAGCUAACCGAUACUAAUGAACCGUGAGGCUUAACCUU